RNAcentral lists this ribosomal RNA (482 nucleotides) under uncultured bacterium. RNAcentral's name for it is "bacterial SSU rRNA". It matches the Rfam family "Bacterial small subunit ribosomal RNA", at positions 28 to 511 of the family's 1533-position model. The record is from RNAcentral.
GAUGAACGCUAGCGGCAGGCUUAACACAUGCAAGUCGAGGGGUAUGCCGAUUUAUCGGCAGAGACCGGCGCACGGGUGCGUAACGCGUAUGCAAUCUACCUUUCACAGAGGGAUAGCCCAGAGAAAUUUGGAUUAAUACCUCAUAGUAUAGCAGUUUCGCAUGAAACCACUAUUAAAGUCACAACGGUGAAAGAUGAGCAUGCGUCCCAUUAGCUAGUUGGUAAGGUAACGGCUUACCAAGGCAACGAUGGGUAGGGGUCCUGAGAGGGAGAUCCCCCCACACUGGUACUGAGACACGGACCAGACUCCUACGGGAGGCAGCGGUGAGGAAUAUUGGACAAUGGGCGCAAGCCUGAUCCAGCCAUGCCGCGUGCAGGAUGACGGUCCUAUGGAUUGUAAACUGCUUUUAUACAGGAAGAACACUACUUCGUGAAGUAGCUUGACGGUACUGUAAGAAUAAGGAUCGGCUAACUCCGUGCCAG